GGGCUAGGCUUUGAUGUUUGAAAUGAGGGACACUCCUUCUUCUACCAUCAAUAGAAAGAAGCAGGGCAGAGGAAACCUAGUGCAGAAGCAGCUACUGGGAACCAUAGCCUGGCCUACUCGGCUAUCUGGUAAUAUUCUGUAAACCAUCCUUCUUUAAAACUAGUCCCAGAAUGGAACUAUUUUGCUUGAGGUUGGACAAACCAACUGCAAGUUUUCACGCUCUCUCAAAUCUCAGAUUCUGCAAGUUAUCUGUGGUUACACAAGUAUCUGCCGACAGAUGCGGUGGGGUGUAAGACUCAGGCAAAACAUCUGUUUGGUCUUGGGUUACAGCACUGACCAGCAAUCAGCAGAGUGUCAUGAGGAACUUUUCAAUCAGAACAAUGAAGCUGGAAACCACAGAGCUACAGCCAACUACACAUCCUCUGACCCCGAAUUAUAUGCUUAUCUCAGUCCCCCUCACACUAAGGAGAGAAAAAAUAAAUAAAAGUCAAAGUCCUUGCUCCUUAGCAACCACAAUCUAUGAUCAAAACCACACAUAGAUGAAAAGUAUUUUAAACAAUUAUAAACAAAAUUUGAACAAAAAUACACAAUAUGAGAAUAACCAUGAUUUUUAGCGUGUGAAGGAAACUCAAAAUGAGGAAAAAGUAUUAUAGAAUCAGCAGGGACUGGAGGUAGCUAUAACCAUUUGCCCCAUUCUAUUUCCUACCAGAGAU
Long non-coding RNA from Equus asinus (donkey), 713 nucleotides. The record is from Ensembl. NCBI's taxonomy places the organism in Eukaryota, Metazoa, Chordata, Mammalia, Perissodactyla, Equidae.